AGUGAACGCUGGCGGUAGGCCUAACACAUGCAAGUCGAACGGCAGCACAGGAGAGCUUGCUCUCUGGGUGGCGAGUGGCGGACGGGUGAGGAAUACAUCGGAAUCUACUUUUUCGUGGGGGAUAACGUAGGGAAACUUACGCUAAUACCGCAUACGACCUACGGGUGAAAGCAGGGGACCUUCGGGCCUUGCGCGAUUGAAUGAGCCGAUGUCGGAUUAGCUAGUUGGCGGGGUAAAGGCCCACCAAGGCGACGAUCCGUAGCUGGUCUGAGAGGAUGAUCAGCCACACUGGAACUGGGACACGGUCCAGACUCCUACGGGAGGCGGCAGUGGGGAAUAUUGGACAAUGGGCGCAAGCCUGAUCCAGCCAUACCGCGUGGGUGAAGAAGGCCUUCGGGUUGUAAAGCCCUUUUGUUGGGAAAGAAAUCCAGCCGGCUAAUACCUGGUUGGGAUGACGGUACCCAAAGAAUAAGCACCGGCUAACUUCGUGCCAGCCGCCGCGGUAA
Molecule: ribosomal RNA, 506 nt
Filed under: uncultured bacterium
Lineage: Bacteria
Description: partial 16S ribosomal RNA
Rfam family: Bacterial small subunit ribosomal RNA
Source: RNAcentral